This 406-nucleotide ribosomal RNA is filed under the name uncultured bacterium. RNAcentral's name for it is "partial 16S ribosomal RNA". It matches the Rfam family "Bacterial small subunit ribosomal RNA", at positions 30 to 526 of the family's 1533-position model. The record is from RNAcentral.
AUUGAACGCUGGCGGGAGGCCUAACACAUGCAAGUCGAACGAGUGGCGGACGGGUGAGUAAUGUAUGGGAACCUGCCCGAUGGAGGGGGAUAACUACUGGAAACGGUAGCUAAUACCGCAUACCAUCGGAUGUGCCGAGAUGGGAUUAGCUAGUAGGUGGGGUAACGGCUCACCUAGGCGACGAUCCCUAGCUGGUCUGAGAGGAUGACCAGCCACACUGGAACUGAGACACGGUCCAGACUCCUACGGGAGGCAGCAGUGGGGAAUUUUGGACAAUGGGCGCAAGCCUGAUGCAGCCAUGCCGCGUGUAUGAAGAAGGCCUUCGGGUUGUAAAGUACUUUCGGCGGGGAGGCGUUACUCGCAGAAUAAGCACCGGCUAACUCCGUGCCAGCAGCCGCGGUAAUUC